Molecule: ribosomal RNA, 498 nt
Filed under: uncultured bacterium
Lineage: Bacteria
Description: partial 16S ribosomal RNA
Rfam family: Bacterial small subunit ribosomal RNA
Source: RNAcentral
AUUGAACGCUGGCGGCAUGCCUUACACAUGCAAGUCGAACGGUAACAGGUCUUCGGAUGCUGACGAGUGGCGAACGGGUGAGUAAUACAUCGGAACGUGCCUAGUAGUGGGGGAUAACUACUCGAAAGAGUGGCUAAUACCGCAUGAGAUCUACGGAUGAAAGCAGGGGAUCGCAAGACCUUGUGCUACUAGAGCGGCCGAUGGCAGAUUAGGUAGUUGGUGGGAUAAAAGCUUACCAAGCCGACGAUCUGUAGCUGGUCUGAGAGGACGAUCAGCCACACUGGGACUGAGAACCGGCCCAGACUCCUACGGGAGGCAGCAGUGGGGAAUUUUGGACAAUGGGCGAAAGCCUGUUCCAGCAAUGCCGCGUGCAGGAUGAAGGCCUUCGGGUUGUAAACUGCUUUUGUACGGAACGAAAAGCCCCGGGUUAAUACCCUGGGGUCAUGACGGUACCGUAAGAAUAAGCACCGGCUAACUACGUGCCAGCCGCCGCGGUAA